CGCGAAUAGCUCAUUACAACAGCCACCGUUACUAGAAAAUAGUAUCCUACUGGAUAACUGUGGCAAUCUAGAGCUAAUACAGCAAAAAAGCUCCGCCCGCAAGGAACGAGCGCAUUUUUAGAAUAAAAACCAAUCGGGUUUCGGCCCGUAAUUUGGUGAAUCUGAAUAACUUUGCCAAUCGCACAGUCCUAGUACUGGCGAUAUAUCUUUCAAGUGUCUGCCUUAUCAACUUUCGAUGGUAGGUUAUACGCCUACCAUGGUAGUAACGGGUAACGGAGAAUAAGGGUUCGACUCCGGAGAGGGAGCCUGAGAAACGGCUACCACAUCCAAGGAAGGCAGCAGGCGCGCAAAUUACCCACUUCCAGAACGGAGAGGUAGUGACGAAAAAUAACGAGACAGUCCUCUUCGAGGUCUGUCAUCGGAAUGGGUACAAUUUAAAUCCUUUAACGAGGAUCUAUUGGAGGGCAAAUGUGGUGCCAGCAGCCGCGGUAAUUCCAGCU
Molecule: ribosomal RNA, 500 nt
Filed under: Opisthodorylaimus sylphoides
Lineage: Eukaryota; Metazoa; Nematoda; Enoplea; Dorylaimida; Dorylaimidae
Description: SSU rRNA
Rfam family: Eukaryotic small subunit ribosomal RNA
Source: RNAcentral